GACGAACGCUGGCGGCGUGCCUAAUACAUGCAAGUCGAACGCUUCUUUUCCCACCGGAGCUUGCUCCACCGGGAAAAGAGGAGUGGCGAACGGGUGAGUAACACGUGGGUAACCUGCCCAUCAGAAGGGGAUAACACUUGGAAACAGGUGCUAAUACCGUAUAACAAUCGAAACCGCAUGGUUUCGUUUUGAAAGGCGCUUUACGGUGCCACUGAUGGAUGGACCCGCGGCGCAUUAGCUAGUUGGUGAGGUAACGGCUCACCAAGGCCACGAUGCAUAGCCGACCUGCGAGGGUGAUCGGCCACAUUGGGACUGAGACACGGCCCAAACUCCUACGGGAGGCAGCAGUAGGGAAUCUUCGGCAAUGGACGAAAGUCUGACCGAGCAACGCCGCGUGAGUGAAGAAGGUUUUCGGAUCGUAAGACUCUGUUGUUAGAGAAGAACAAGGGUGAGAGUAACUGUUCACCCCUUGACGGUAUCUAACCAGAAAGCCACGGCUAACUACGUGCCAGCCGCCGCGGUAA
This 524-nucleotide ribosomal RNA is filed under the name uncultured bacterium. RNAcentral's name for it is "partial 16S ribosomal RNA". It matches the Rfam family "Bacterial small subunit ribosomal RNA", at positions 28 to 523 of the family's 1533-position model. The record is from RNAcentral.